Long non-coding RNA from Bubalus bubalis (water buffalo), 310 nucleotides. RefSeq lists it as uncharacterized. The transcript is spliced from 4 exons. Lineage: Eukaryota; Metazoa; Chordata; Mammalia; Artiodactyla; Bovidae. The record is from RefSeq and is a predicted model, not a curated record.
ACAGACAUCUGGGAGAAAGUUGUUUCAGGAAGAGACAACAGUAGGUGCAAAGUUCCAGACUCUUGAGUGAGGUUGGCAUGCUUCAGAAACCAAAAGAAGUCCACCGUGUCUGACCUACGGCAAGGGAAGUGGAUAUCUCAGGAGGCAUGUGGGAUCUCAACUCCCCAACAAGAGAUUGAGUCCACCACACCCCCUGCAUUGGAAGGUGAAGUCAACCACUGGACCACAGGUGGGAGUUCCAGCCCCCUCACGUUUCCAUCAGCACUUGGUAUGGACACUAUGGACUGUAGCCCGCCAGGCUCCUCUGUCC